GAGGGUAUAGCUCAGUGGUAGAGCACGUGCUUAGCAUGCACAAGGUCCUGGGUUCAGUCCCCAGAGCCUCCA
RNAcentral lists this transfer RNA (72 nucleotides) under Camelus bactrianus (Bactrian camel). It matches the Rfam family "tRNA". From Rfam's summary of the family: Transfer RNA (tRNA) molecules are approximately 80 nucleotides in length. Their secondary structure includes four short double-helical elements and three loops (D, anti-codon, and T loops). Further hydrogen bonds mediate the characteristic L-shaped molecular structure. tRNAs have two regions of fundamental functional importance: the anti-codon, which is responsible for specific mRNA codon recognition, and the 3' end, to which the tRNAs corresponding amino acid is attached (by aminoacyl-tRNA synthetases). tRNAs cope with the degeneracy of the genetic code in two manners: having more than one tRNA (with a specific anti-codon) for a particular amino acid; and 'wobble' base-pairing, i.e. permitting non-standard base-pairing at the 3rd anti-codon position. The record is from Rfam by way of RNAcentral. RNAcentral also lists the same sequence under 2 other names. Lineage: Eukaryota; Metazoa; Chordata; Mammalia; Artiodactyla; Camelidae.